UUCAGCAGCUAGAGCAAAGACAACUACCUCCCUACGAGGUGCUAAAAUGACCUUCUUCCCUUUAAUGCUAAGGGAAUAGGUGUUCUUUCAUCCAUCAUAAACCACGCUUCUAUCAUACUUCCAAGGUU
Molecule: long non-coding RNA, 128 nt
Organism: Juglans microcarpa x Juglans regia
Lineage: Eukaryota; Viridiplantae; Streptophyta; Magnoliopsida; Fagales; Juglandaceae
Exons: 3
Source: RefSeq, a predicted model, not a curated record